GGCCUCCUGGUGCUUACCACAGGCUGUGUUUUUAUACUGACUGUAUAGAAAGAGGAGGCAGAGCAAACCCGCCCCAUGUACACCUCAGCUCAGGCCACUGUGCCUGGUCUGUAUUGUGAACGGGGAGACAUGG
This 133-nucleotide small nucleolar RNA is filed under the name Nannospalax galili (Upper Galilee mountains blind mole rat). RNAcentral's name for it is "Small nucleolar RNA SNORA51 (ENSNGAG00000004178.1)". It matches the Rfam family "Small nucleolar RNA SNORA51". Rfam says of the family: ACA51 is a member of the H/ACA class of snoRNA that guide the sites of modification of uridines to pseudouridines. Lineage: Eukaryota; Metazoa; Chordata; Mammalia; Rodentia; Spalacidae. The record is from Rfam by way of RNAcentral.